UCUCUCUGAAUCUGCGAACGGCUCCGCAAACCAGUUGUAAACCAUAGCAAGCACGCCUUGGGCCGCCGCAAGGCGGUCCUUGGCUAUAAGGAUAACCCUGGUAAUUCUGAGGCUAAUACAUGAACGUAACCCCCGGCCCAACGGGCAACUGGAAGCCGGGGACCGUGCGAGUAGGCGCAACGUUUUAUCGGAGUAGUCGCACAGUACGACCACCAUCCAAACGGUAUCCGCUUCGCUGCCUCACGGCGGCUGGCGGUGUCCGGGUGGCUCUUGCAAGGUGCUUCUGACCUAUCAACUAGAUGGCAGCGUAACGGACAUGCUAUGGUGACAACGGGUACAGAGGAUAAGGGUUCGAUCCUGGAGAGUGGGCCUGAGAGAUUGCUCACACUUCUAAGGAAGGCAGCAGGCGCGCAACGUUCCCCUUGGGCAAAGCUCGAGGGCGUUAGGGGACAUAUGAAUGCCUGCCUUAUGGUGGGCAAUUCAAAUGGGUCUGUUCUAAACAGCCUCUCGA
Molecule: ribosomal RNA, 511 nt
Filed under: Aethaliopsis melanospora
Lineage: Eukaryota; Evosea; Eumycetozoa; Physariida; Physaraceae
Description: Badhamia melanospora SSU rRNA
Rfam family: Eukaryotic small subunit ribosomal RNA
Source: RNAcentral